Molecule: ribosomal RNA, 433 nt
Filed under: uncultured bacterium
Lineage: Bacteria
Description: partial 16S ribosomal RNA
Rfam family: Bacterial small subunit ribosomal RNA
Source: RNAcentral
AACGAACGCUGGCGGCAUGCCUAACACAUGCAAGUCGAACGAGACCUUCGGGUCUGGUGGCGCACGGGUGCGUAACGCGUUGGAACCUGCCCUUAGGGUCGGAAUAACUCCCCGAAAGGGGUGCUAAUACCGGGUAAUGUCUUCGGACCAAAGAUUUAUCGCCUUUGGAUGGGCCCGCGUUGGAUUAGCUAGUUGGUAGGGUAAAAGCCUACCAAGGCGACGAUCCAUAGCUGGUCUGAGAGGAUGAUCAGCCACACUGGGACUGAGACACGGCCCAGACUCCUACGGGAGGCAGCAGUGGGGAAUAUUGGACAAUGGGCGAAAGCCUGAUCCAGCAAUGCCGCGUGAGUGAUGAAGGCCUUAGGGUUGUAAAGCUCUUUUACCCGGGAUGAUAAUGACAGUACCGGGAGAAUAAGCUCCGGCUAACUCCGUG